AGCUCGUAGUUGGAUUUCUGUUAAUAUUUUAUAUUAUUAAUUUAUUAUUAUUAAUAUAAUGUUAACAUAAUUCAUAUUACUUUUUAAGUAUAUGAAAUUUUACUUUGAGAAAAUUAGAGUGCUUAAAGCAGGCUUUUGCCUUGAAUACUCCAGCAUGGAAUAAUAUUAAAGAUUUUUAUCUUUCUUAUUGGGUCUAAGAUAGAAAUAAUGAUUAAUAGGGACAGUUGGGGGCAUUUGUGUUUAACAGUCAGAGGUGAAAUUCUUAGAUUUGUUAAAGACAAACUAAUGCGCAAGCAUUUGCCAAGGAUGUUUUCAUUAAUCAAGAACGAAAGUUAGGGGAUCGAAGACGAUCAGAUACCGUCGUAGUCUUAACCAUAAACUAUGCCCACUAGAGAUUGGGGGUUGUUCCUUACUCCUUCAGCACCUUA
RNAcentral lists this ribosomal RNA (428 nucleotides) under Cryptosporidium environmental sequence. RNAcentral's name for it is "bacterial SSU rRNA". It matches the Rfam family "Eukaryotic small subunit ribosomal RNA", at positions 625 to 1090 of the family's 1831-position model. The record is from RNAcentral. Lineage: Eukaryota; Apicomplexa; Conoidasida; Eucoccidiorida; Cryptosporidiidae.